CAACUUCCACCUGGCUUACCUCCNUCAGUUAUGCGUCAUGACUUGUAUCGUCUUGAGCGUAUUGUGGGUUUCCUGUGUUGCAUACCUUUCUAAUGGUAUCGUGUUGAUUGAUCGAAGUCCCUUUUCAUCUUGUGUUGCUUUUUGCGACGCAUGAUGAACAUCGAGGCGGUCUCUAUGUUCCACCACGUUGAUGCUAGCGUUUUGAUGUUGUGGCCCAUUGAGUGUUGCUUGGUUUCGUGGAUACAGAACAUGAUUUGGGCAUAGGGUUACUUGUGACUCUURUUUUGUCCUUUAUCUGUGUUCUUUAUAACGACAGUUCAUGUGCGCCUAGGCUCGUACCUGCGUGAUGUUCUUUGUCGAAGAGGAAUGCUACCUGGUUGAUCCUGCCAGUAGUCAUAUGCUUGUCUCARAGAUUAAGCCAUGCAUGUGUAAGUA
Molecule: unclassified non-coding RNA, 435 nt
Filed under: Senecio spanomerus
Lineage: Eukaryota; Viridiplantae; Streptophyta; Magnoliopsida; Asterales; Asteraceae
Description: partial contains external transcribed spacer and 18S ribosomal RNA
Rfam family: Eukaryotic small subunit ribosomal RNA (bases 371-435)
Source: RNAcentral